RNAcentral lists this ribosomal RNA (406 nucleotides) under uncultured bacterium. Its description in RNAcentral is "partial 16S ribosomal RNA". It matches the Rfam family "Bacterial small subunit ribosomal RNA", at positions 28 to 526 of the family's 1533-position model. The record is from RNAcentral.
GUUGAACGCUGGCGGCAGGCCUAACACAUGCAAGUCGAACGAGUGGCGGACGGGCGAGUAAUGUCUUGGAAACUGCCUGAAGGAGGGGGAUAACUACUGGAACCGGUAGCUAAUACCGAGUUCCAUCCGAUGUGCCCAGAUGGGAUUAGCUAGUUGGUGGGGUAACGGCGCACCAAGGCGACGAUCCCUAGCUGGUCUGAGAGGCUGACCGGCCACACUGUAAAGGAGACACGGUCCAGACUCCUACGGGAGGCAGCAGUGGGGAAUAUUGCACAAUGGGCGCAAGCCUGAUGCAGCCAUGCCGCGUGUAUGAAGAAGGUCUUCGGGUCGUAAAGUACUUUCGGCGGGGAGGCGUUACCCGCAGAAGAAGCACCGGCUAACUCCGUGCCAGCAGCCGCGGUAAUAC